RNAcentral lists this ribosomal RNA (446 nucleotides) under uncultured bacterium. Its description in RNAcentral is "bacterial SSU rRNA". It matches the Rfam family "Bacterial small subunit ribosomal RNA", at positions 329 to 792 of the family's 1533-position model. The record is from RNAcentral.
AUCCAGACUCCUACGGGAGGCAGCAGUGGGGGAUAUUGCACAAUGGGGGAAACCCUGAUGCAGCGACGCCGCGUGGGUGAAGAAGCGCCUCGGCGCGUAAAGCCCUGUCAGCAGGGAAGAAGAUGACGGUACCUGACUAAGAAGCCCCGGCUAACUACGUGCCAGCAGCCGCGGUAAUACGUAGGGGGCAAGCGUUAUCCGGAUUUACUGGGUGUAAAGGGAGCGUAGACGGCGAUGCAAGCCAGAUGUGAAAGCCCGGGGCUCAACCCCGGGACUGCAUUUGGAACUGUGUGGCUGGAGUGUCGGAGAGGCAGGCGGAAUUCCUAGUGUAGCGGUGAACUGCGUAGAUAUUAGGAGGAACACCAGUGGCGAAGGCGGCUUACUGGACUGUAACUGACGUUGAGGCUCGAAAGCGUGGGGAGCAAACAGGAUUAGAUACCCUAGUA